UACAGGGGGUGCAAACGUUGCUCGGAAUCAUUGGGCGUAAAGCGCGCGCAGGCGGUCCUUCAAGUCAGAGGUGAAAGCCCAGAGCUCAACUCUGGAACGGCCUUUGAGACUAGAGGACUUGGGUACGGGAGAGGUGAGUGGAAUUCCGAGUGUAGAGGUGAAAUUCGUAGAUAUUCGGAAGAACACCAGUGGCGAAGGCGGCUCACUGGCCCGUUACCGACGCUCAGGCGCGACAGCGUGGGGAGCAAACAGG
RNAcentral lists this ribosomal RNA (253 nucleotides) under uncultured bacterium. RNAcentral describes it as "partial 16S ribosomal RNA". It matches the Rfam family "Bacterial small subunit ribosomal RNA", at positions 524 to 776 of the family's 1533-position model. The record is from RNAcentral.